This 451-nucleotide ribosomal RNA is filed under the name uncultured bacterium. RNAcentral's name for it is "bacterial SSU rRNA". It matches the Rfam family "Bacterial small subunit ribosomal RNA", at positions 340 to 782 of the family's 1533-position model. The record is from RNAcentral.
UACGGGAGGCAGCAGUGGGGAAUAUUGCACAAUGGGCGCAAGCCUGAUGCAGCCAUGCCGCGUGUAUGAAAAAGGCCUUCGGGUUGUAAAGUACUUUCAGUCGUGAGGAAGGUGUUAAGGUUAAUAACCUUAGCAAUUGACGUUAGCGACAGAAGAAGCACCGGCUAACUCCGUGCCAGCAGCCGCGGUAAUACGGAGGGUGCGAGCGUUAAUCGGAAUUACUGGGCGUAAAGGGCACGCAGGCGGUUAAUUAAGUUGGAUGUGAAUCCCCGGGCUUAACCUGGGAAUGGCAUUCAAGACUGGUUAGCUAGAGUCUUGUAGAGGGGGUAGAAUUCCAUGUGUAGCGGUGAAAUGCGUAGAGAUGUGGAGGAAUACCGGGUGGCGAAGGCGGCCCCUGGACAAAGACUGACGCUCAUGUGCGAAAGCGUGGGGAGCGAAACGAGGGAUUAGA